GAUGAACGCUGGCGGCGUGCCUAAUACAUGCAAGUCGAGCGAACAGACGAGGAGCUUGCUCCUCUGACGUUAGCGGCGGACGGGUGAGUAACACGUGGAUAACCUACCUAUAAGACUGGGAUAACUUCGGGAAACCGGAGCUAAUACCGGAUAAUAUAUUGAACCGCAUGGUUCAAUAGUGAAAGACGGUUUUGCUGUCACUUAUAGAUGGAUCCGCGCCGCAUUAGCUAGUUGGUAAGGUAACGGCUUACCAAGGCAACGAUGCGUAGCCGACCUGAGAGGGUGAUCGGACACACUGGAAGUGAGACACGGUACAGACUCCUACGGGAGGCAGCAGUAGGGAAUCUUACGCAAUGGGCGAAAGCCUGACGGAGCAACGCCGCGUGAGUGAUGAGGGUCUUCGGAUCGUAAAACUCUGUUAUUAGGGAAGAACAAAUGUGUAAGUAACUAUGCACGUCUUGACGGUACCUAAUCAGAAAGCCACGGCUAACUACGUG
Molecule: ribosomal RNA, 497 nt
Filed under: uncultured bacterium
Lineage: Bacteria
Description: partial 16S ribosomal RNA
Rfam family: Bacterial small subunit ribosomal RNA
Source: RNAcentral